CUACGUGCCAGCAGCCGCGGUAAUACGUAGGGCGCGAGCGUUGUCCGGAAUUAUUGGGCGUAAAGAGCUUGUAGGCGGUUUGUCGCGUCUGCUGUGAAAGGCCGGGGCUUAACCCCGUGUAUUGCAGUGGGUACGGGCAGACUAGAGUGCAGUAGGGGAGACUGGAAUUCCUGGUGUAGCGGUGGAAUGCGCAGAUAUCAGGAGGAACACCGAUGGCGAAGGCAGGUCUCUGGGCUGUAACUGACGCUGAGAAGCGAAAGCAUGGGGAGCGAACAGGAUUAGAUACCCUGGUAGUCCAUGCCGUAAACGUUGGGCACUAGGUGUGGGGGACAUUCCACGUUUUCCGCGCCGUAGCUAACGCAUUAAGUGCCCCGCCUGGGGAGUACGGCCGCAAGGCUAAAACUCAAAGAAAUUGACGGGGGCCCGCACAAGCGGCGGAGCAUGCGGAUUAAUUCGAUGCAACGCGAAGAACCUUACCAAGGCUUGACAU
Molecule: ribosomal RNA, 490 nt
Filed under: uncultured bacterium
Lineage: Bacteria
Description: bacterial SSU rRNA
Rfam family: Bacterial small subunit ribosomal RNA
Source: RNAcentral